Lagopus muta (rock ptarmigan) is the source of this 1804-nucleotide long non-coding RNA. RefSeq lists it as uncharacterized. The record is from RefSeq and is a predicted model, not a curated record. The transcript has 5 exons. NCBI's taxonomy places the organism in Eukaryota, Metazoa, Chordata, Aves, Galliformes, Phasianidae.
UCCAACCCCACCACGCAGUUACAACACCCACCUCCACCUAUUUAAUAGCAGGGGAGGUCGUUCUCCUUCUAGCCUUUUCUUUUGCGGAUUCCUUCCCCAAUUCCCCUUAGCUUCUAUUUAUUUAUUCGUUUCUUUAUUAUGAUUAGCAUUUUGUAUUUAUUUUCUUUAUGGCUUCAGGAAGGAGCUGCAGCACUCUAAGGGGCUGAUGCGGCUCAGCUGUGCUCCUGGUUCUCCCAUUCUGCUCCAGGAACCAAUCUCUCCUUCCUCGCUGUGCUUUAACUUCAGCUGAGCUCUCAUAAAGUUCUCUUUUGAGGCCCGUGUUUGAGCAUAGAAAAGGUCUGUGAAGCCUCAGAGAAGCAUUUCUUGAAGUGUGCAAUGGAGGAGGACGCUUCCCUUGGCUUCAAUCCGGGAGUGAGGAGCAGGCUGGAUCCUUGGAAGGGGAUGGCUUCAUGACUUUAAAAGGAUUUGUGACAAGCCAUGAGCCUUGAGAAAAUAAACCAUGAUGAAUUCCCAUCCGUAGAGACAGCUCUGAAGGUUUUCAAGAUCAGAAUGAAUAAAACACUGUGCAAUCUGGUCAGAUCUCCCAGGGAACCCGGCUCUGAGCAAGCAGGAAGAGGGAUAGACAUGAGCUCCAGUUUGGAUUGCUCUCAUCAGCGAGGAUCAUACAGAGAUUCCAAGCAGCCAUAGACUUGUUUGGGGCUGGAAGUUGCAUCAGGGCAGCAAGGGUGGAAAAGUUUUUGGAUUUGGACACAGUGCUGCCAUGGAGUGGCUACCUGGUUAUUGGAUUCUAGUCAUUCACUUUCUCAGAGUACUUCACACUUCAUGUUGAGGGCUGUACUCUUACAUCCUGGGUUGUAUAAGCCAUUACAUCCUUAUUGUUUAAGCCUUUGGAGCAGUUGAGACUAUUUCAGAGUCAUAAGAAGCUAUUAAGAUCGUUGCUGUUGUUUCUCACCAUAGAAUAAGAGAGUGACAGAAUGGCUUGGGUUGGAAGGAAGUUUGAAGAUCGUCUAGUUCCAGCUCCUUUUUGGAAACAGAAAGGCCUUGCCAUAAAUUUUAAGUCAUGCUGAUCAUCACAGAUGCCAGAGCUUCCCUGAUAUUACGGAAUCAUAGAAUCCUUAGGGUUGGAAGGGAUCUUUAAAGGUCAUCCAGUCCAACUCCCUUGCAGUGAACAAGGGCAUCCACAGUUAGAUCAGGUUGCCCAUGGCCUGAUCCAGCCUCACCUUGAACAACUCCAGGAAUGGGGGCAUCCACCACAUCUCAGGGCAACCUGUAUGGUGCUAAUUCCAUAAUCUGGAAGGGGUUUGUAUGUGUACAAACACAGCACACAGAUGACCUUUUAGUGUGAACUCUUACUAGCGCUCUCCAGACAAGAUGCCCGUCCUUCUGUCUCAACUUCCCCUCAUUUUCGAGUGUUUGAGAGAGGAAGAAGAUUGGCAUCUUUGCUUGCAUUAUGGCUGCUCCCAGCCAUGAAGAAUAAACCCAAGGCUUAUUCCAUUCCUGUAUUUUCUUAGAUUUGGGCAAGGGGCCUGCUUGUGCUCUGUGAGUACCUUCCCAUGGUGCAUGCGUGCUCAGCAUCACACAAUGUGCUUCUUGCAGGGAACACCCUGCCCGGAUCCAGUCCAUCUCUGGUCAAGGGAGGAUUAUUCCCAGCAGACCAUGCUUCAGUCCAUUUUUAAAUAUCUUAAAGAGCAGGGUUUCCACCACAGCCCCUGGGGAGGAUGUUCUACAGUCCAGUAGGUUAGAUCUCACUGUUAAGAAUGUUUCCCCUGAUAUUCAGUGUUCAUUUUCCAUUCCUUAAUCCCGU